UUAGAUGUAAAAACAAUACAGUAUUAAUCAUUUAGAUCGGCGGUUUUCAAAGUGUGAGGCGCGCCUCCCCUAGGGGGCGCCAGAGCACUUUAGGGGAGGCGCGGUGCGAGGGAAAAAAUAAACCGGAAAAGAAGCUAUCUGCUUGCUGUCUACUGAUGUGAGAGAAAGAAUGGACAAAUUUUUAGUAAAGAAAAAGGCAGGGGAGACAAGCUCUUGCGUAAGUAGAAAAAAGAGGAAGUAUGACCACGACUACUUAAAGUUUGGAUUUUCCUGGACUGCUCCCGAUGAUGCUCCAAGGCUGUAAUGUGUAAUCUGCAAGGAGGUUCUGGCUAAUGAUAGCAUGAGACCCUGUAAGCUCCGGCGUCACAUUGAAACAAAGCACCCAAGUUUAGUGACCAAGCCGCGGGAGUUUUUUGAGAGGAAGUUGAAGGAGCUGUGCACACAGAAAAAAACAAAUGAAAAAAAAAAAGACAGGCAUUGUGCUCCUUGGAGGGGGGCUCACCCUUUCAUACUUUGAAAACCCCUGA
This is a long non-coding RNA of Xiphophorus couchianus (Monterrey platyfish), 527 nucleotides long. RefSeq lists it as uncharacterized. NCBI's taxonomy places the organism in Eukaryota, Metazoa, Chordata, Actinopteri, Cyprinodontiformes, Poeciliidae. The record is from RefSeq and is a predicted model, not a curated record. The transcript has 5 exons.